AUGGGCGAAGCCUGAUGCAGCAACGCCGUGUGAGCGAUGAGGGCCUUAGGGUCGUAAAGCUCUGUUGUUAGGGACGAAGGGCGAAGGGUUAAUAGCCCUUAGCCUGACGGUACCUUUCGAGGAAGCCCCGGCUAACUACGUGCCAGCAGCCGCGGUAAUACGUAGGGGGCGAGCGUUGUCCGGAAUUAUUGGGCGUAAAGGGCGCGUAGGCGGCCUGGUAAGUCUGCUGUGAAACCUUGGGGCUCAACCCCAAGCGUGCAGUGGAUACUGUCAGGCUAGAGGAUGGUAGAGGCCAGUGGAAUUCCCGGUGUAGCGGUGAAAUGCGCAGAUAUCGGGAGGAACACCAGUAGCGAAGGCGGCUGGCUGGGCCAUUCCUGACGCUGAGGCGCGAAAGCUAGGGGAGCGAACAGGAUUAGAUACCCUGGUAGUCCUAGCCGUAAACGAUGAACACUAGGUGUGGGGGGAGUCGAAUCCCUCCGUGCCGAAGCCAACGCGUUAAGUGUUCCGCCUGGGGAGUACGGCCGCAAGGCUAAAACUCAAAUGAAUUGACGGGGAAUCACUAGUGAAUUCGCGGCCGCCUGCAGGUCGACCAUAUGGGAGAGCUCCCAACGCGUUGGAUGCAUAGCUUGAGUAUUCWGGGGGNCCCCCC
This 649-nucleotide ribosomal RNA is filed under the name uncultured Rubrobacter sp. Its description in RNAcentral is "bacterial SSU rRNA". It matches the Rfam family "Bacterial small subunit ribosomal RNA", at positions 371 to 1013 of the family's 1533-position model. Lineage: Bacteria; Bacillati; Actinomycetota; Rubrobacteria; Rubrobacterales; Rubrobacteraceae. The record is from RNAcentral.